Molecule: ribosomal RNA, 422 nt
Filed under: Hermissenda crassicornis
Lineage: Eukaryota; Metazoa; Mollusca; Gastropoda; Nudibranchia; Glaucidae
Also listed under: 1 other name
Description: partial 16S ribosomal RNA
Rfam family: Bacterial large subunit ribosomal RNA
Source: RNAcentral
AGCCACAGGCUUAUAUUUGUGGUUCAACCUGCCCUAUGAAUUUUAAAUGGCCGCAGUACUCUGACUGUGCUAAGGUAGCGUAAUCAGUUGGCUUUUAAAUGGAGUCGGGAAUGAAUGGGAAAACCGGGUUUAGCUGUCGAGGCUUACUUACUUGAAUUUGCUUUUUAAGUGAAAAAGCUUAAAAGAAAAAAAAAGACGAGAAGACCCUUAGAACUUUAAUUAUAGAACAUCUAACGUUUUUAUUGGGGCGAUAAAGAAACAUUGAAACUUUCUGUAAAAACAAGCCGAUUUUAUUAUGGGAGAAUAAGUUACCUGAGGGAUAACAGCAUAAUUUUAUAAUUAAGUUUGUGACCUCGAUGUUGGACUAGGAAACUAAUAGGCUAGCCGUUUAUUAUGGGAGUUCUGUUCGAACUAUUAUUCCU